UACGUAGGGUGCAAGCGUUAAUCGGAAUGACUGGGCGUAAAGGGUGCGCAGGCGGCGUAUUAAGUCAGUUGUGAAAUACCUGGGCUCAACCUAGGAGGUGCAAUUGAGACUGGUUCGCUAGAGUGUGUCAGAGGGGGGUAGAAUUCCACGUGUAGCAGUGAAAUGCGUAGAGAUGUGGAGGAAUACCGAUGGCGAAGGCAGCCCCCUGGGAUAACACUGACGCUCAGGCACGAAAGCGUGGGGAGCAAACAGG
This 253-nucleotide ribosomal RNA is filed under the name uncultured bacterium. Its description in RNAcentral is "partial 16S ribosomal RNA". It matches the Rfam family "Bacterial small subunit ribosomal RNA", at positions 524 to 776 of the family's 1533-position model. The record is from RNAcentral.